GAGAACUGAAACAUCUUAGUACCCGGAGGAAGAAAAAGAAAAUUCGAUUCCCUUAGUAGCGGCGAGCGAAACGGGAAGAGCCCAAACCAACAAGCUUGCUUGUUGGGGUUGUAGGACACUCUAUACGGAGUUACAAAGGACGACAUUAGACGAAUCAUCUGGAAAGAUGAAUCAAAGAAGGUAAUAAUCCUGUAGUCGAAAAUGUUGUCUCUCUUGAGUGGAUCCUGAGUACGACGGAACACGUGAAAUUCCGUCGGAAUCUGGGAGGACCAUCUCCUAAGGCUAAAUACUCUCUAGUGACCGAUAGUGAACCAGUACCGUGAGGGAAAGGUGAAAAGCACCCCGGAAGGGGAGUGAAAUAGAACCUGAAACCGUGUGCUUACAAGUAGUCAGAGCCCGUUAAUGGGUGAUGGCGUGCCUUUUGUAGAAUGAACCGGCGAGUUACGAUUUGAUGCAAGGUUAAGCAGUAAAUGUGGAGCCGUAGCGAAAGCGAGUCUGAAUAGGGCGUUUAGUAUUUGGUCGUAGACCCGAAACCAGGUGAUCUACCCUUGGUCAGGUUGAAGUUCAGGUAACACUGAAUGGAGGACCGAACCGACUUACGUUGAAAAGUGAGCGGAUGAACUGAGGGUAGCGGAGAAAUUCCAAUCGAACCUGGAGAUAGCUGGUUCUCUCCGAAAUAGCUUUAGGGCUAGCCUCAAGUGAUGAUUAUUGGAGGUAGAGCACUGUUUGGACGAGGGGCCCCUCUCGGGUUACCGAAUUCAGACAAACUCCGAAUGCCAAUUAAUUUAACUUGGGAGUCAGAACAUGGGUGAUAAGGUCCGUGUUCGAAAGGGAAACAGCCCAGACCACCAGCUAAGGUCCCAAAAUAUAUGUUAAGUGGAAAAGGAUGUGGCGUUGCCCAGACAACUAGGAUGUUGGCUUAGAAGCAGCCAUCAUUUAAAGAGUGCGUAAUAGCUCACUAGUCGAGUGACACUGCGCCGAAAAUGUACCGGGGCUAAACAUAUUACCGAAGCUGUGGAUUGUCCUUUGGACAAUGGUAGGAGAGCGUUCUAAGGGCGUUGAAGCAUGAUCGUAAGGACAUGUGGAGCGCUUAGAAGUGAGAAUGCCGGUGUGAGUAGCGAAAGACGGGUGAGAAUCCCGUCCACCGAUUGACUAAGGUUUCCAGAGGAAGGCUCGUCCGCUCUGGGUUAGUCGGGUCCUAAGCUGAGGCCGACAGGCGUAGGCGAUGGAUAACAGGUUGAUAUUCCUGUACCACCUAUAAUCGUUUUAAUCGAUGGGGGGACGCAGUAGGAUAGGCGAAGCGUGCGAUUGGAUUGCACGUCUAAGCAGUAAGGCUGAGUAUUAGGCAAAUCCGGUACUCGUUAAGGCUGAGCUGUGAUGGGGAGAAGACAUUGAGUCUUCGAGUCGUUGAUUUCACACUGCCGAGAAAAGCCUCUAGAUAGAAAAUAGGUGCCCGUACCGCAAACCGACACAGGUAGUCAAGAUGAGAAUUCUAAGGUGAGCGAGCGAACUCUCGUUAAGGAACUCGGCAAAAUGACCCCGUAACUUCGGGAGAAGGGGUGCUCUUUAGGGUUAACGCCCAGAAGAGCCGCAGUGAAUAGGCCCAAGCGACUGUUUAUCAAAAACACAGGUCUCUGCUAAACCGUAAGGUGAUGUAUAGGGGCUGACGCCUGCCCGGUGCUGGAAGGUUAAGAGGAGUGGUUAGCUUCUGCGAAGCUACGAAUCGAAGCCCCAGUAAACGGCGGCCGUAACUAUAACGGUCCUAAGGUAGCGAAAUUCCUUGUCGGGUAAGUUCCGACCCGCACGAAAGGCGUAACGAUUUGGGCACUGUCUCAACGAGAGACUCGGUGAAAUCAUAGUACCUGUGAAGAUGCAGGUUACCCGCGACAGGACGGAAAGACCCCGUGGAGCUUUACUGUAGCCUGAUAUUGAAAUUCGGCACAGCUUGUACAGGAUAGGUAGGAGCCUUUGAAACGUGAGCGCUAGCUUACGUGGAGGCGCUGGUGGGAUACUACCCUAGCUGUGUUGGCUUUCUAACCCGCACCACUUAUCGUGGUGGGAGACAGUGUCAGGCGGGCAGUUUGACUGGGGCGGUCGCCUCCUAAAAGGUAACGGAGGCGCUCAAAGGUUCCCUCAGAAUGGUUGGAAAUCAUUCAUAGAGUGUAAAGGCAUAAGGGAGCUUGACUGCGAGACCUACAAGUCGAGCAGGGUCGAAAGACGGACUUAGUGAUCCGGUGGUUCCGCAUGGAAGGGCCAUCGCUCAACGGAUAAAAGCUACCCCGGGGAUAACAGGCUUAUCUCCCCCAAGAGUUCACAUCGACGGGGAGGUUUGGCACCUCGAUGUCGGCUCAUCGCAUCCUGGGGCUGUAGUCGGUCCCAAGGGUUGGGCUGUUCGCCCAUUAAAGCGGUACGCGAGCUGGGUUCAGAACGUCGUGAGACAGUUCGGUCCCUAUCCGUCGUGGGCGUAGGAAAUUUGAGAGGAGCUGUCCUUAGUACGAGAGGACCGGGAUGGACAUACCUCUGGUGUACCAGUUGUCGUGCCAACGGCAUAGCUGGGUAGCUAUGUGUGGACGGGAUAAGUGCUGAAAGCAUCUAAGCAUGAAGCCCCCCUCAAGAUGAGAUUUCCCAACUUCGGUUAUAAGAUCCCUCAAAGAUGAUGAGGUUAAUAGGUUCGAGGUGGAAGCAUGGUGACAUGUGGAGCUGACGAAUACUAAUCGAUCGAAGACUUAAUCAA
This 2734-nucleotide ribosomal RNA is filed under the name Staphylococcus aureus H35283. Its description in RNAcentral is "bacterial LSU rRNA". It matches the Rfam family "Bacterial large subunit ribosomal RNA". Lineage: Bacteria; Bacillati; Bacillota; Bacilli; Caryophanales; Staphylococcaceae. The record is from RNAcentral.